This is a long non-coding RNA of Frieseomelitta varia, 1420 nucleotides long. RefSeq lists it as uncharacterized. Lineage: Eukaryota; Metazoa; Arthropoda; Insecta; Hymenoptera; Apidae. The record is from RefSeq and is a predicted model, not a curated record. The transcript has 3 exons.
CCAGUGACGUAGGUCAGUGCUCGCGACUACGCCGCUCUCGCGAGCUGCUGAUUAAAACUCGCUGUUUCGGCCUCCGAUCGCCGUCGCGUCGCGAUGAUCCCCAUUGAUAGUUCGCGCGUCGCGUACUGUGCGUCCUCGUCGCCUUUCGUCUUAACCCGGUCGUGGUGGUCACCUUGACACGCGCGGAGGACGAAGGUUAGGUCUGCCGGGGUUUCACCUGCAAGCUGCCGCCGCCAGCUCGUCCGAGCACGGAUUUCACGAGCGUGUCACGGUGUCGAGAGAUCGCGAAAGGAGGACGCAUCAGCAUAAUUAAUUUACGCACCCUCGUCGUAAACACGCCGUUGAAGAAUGGCCUAAUAAAAGACUUGUCCAGCUUAGCGGACUGUAAAAUAUCGUAACGACGUUGAGAAGCACCAGACAAUAAAAACAAUCACUGCCCGUGAAUUUGUAAUAAACUUUCUAUCGCGCGUAAACAAAUUUCGUAUCGGUCGUCGUCAUUUCAGUAGCGACGAAAAUUAUCCAAAACGAUCGAAGGAGCGUGUAGACACGAAGGACUUUUUUUUUCAUGACACUACUGCUAGUUUAGACAAUGGUGUAAGAAAACGUGACUCGAACAACUGGUGGGUGAACGAGUGGUGAAUACAUGAUCUAACACGAAACGAAGCGUGCGAAGGGUGGAAAGAAAGAAAGGAAAUAAUCGUGAAAUAAAAAUACUGAAUAUUCGUCGAAUAUGCCCCCGACGACACCGACAGACUCAGCCAUGUGCUCGCUCUGUCCUCGCUCGAAGAAGGCUCAACAUCCCAAGAAGCUUGUACGAUUCGACUCAAUCGUCGAUACGUUCUCCAUUUCCGAUUCGAACGCCAUCACCAAUCAGAGGGUAAGUUUAUUGCCCGAGUAGUAUAGUCCCUUCAGCUUUCGCCGUGUUCGUGUAAGUAGCCACUCGUUCGUGAGAUCAGAGAUUCAAAGGCGUAUUUUGCUGUUAGCGUUCGCGAGGGAAAAAUGCUGCGUAUAAAAAUUUUCUAGCGGAGUUUUUUUAGCGAACUCUUUGUCGCGAGAUCCCUUUCUCUCUUUCUCUCUCGACUCUUUUUCGGGCGCAAAAAAUCAUAACCGCAAACCAAAGGGACAACAAACAAAGAAGAAGGAGCGUUUAUUAGAAUUAGUUGAAAAAUAGACGUGCCAUGUUUCUACGAAGGCAAAAUUAAUUUCCUCUCCUACAAAGAAGAAUAAUAUGAGCAGAAUGGCACGCUGGCGCUACUUCAAAGGCGGUCCUAAUGCCAUCUGUUAUAAAACAAGAGAAAAAUCUUAAUACGCAGUUGCCCACGUAUUCACUGUGAAAUGCCUUUCCUCUUUGUAAAGAGGCUAGACGCGAUGAUUGUUUUUCGAAAAGAAAUUAAUUGGAUUGCUCUAUGGAAGAAACAAA